AAAUUAAUUUCUAAAGCCUUCUGUCUCUGUGUGUGCAUGUCUUCAGCAGCCAACACGAAGACCUUUGCAAGGCAGGAGCUGUUGGAGCAAAGCCAGAGAGCUAUGGUUGUGCACGUCUGAACGGGACAGGCUGUUGGAGAUUCUGCCAGAGAAAGGAAGUCUUUGCAGAGACAGGGCUCCUUGAAGACCAUUUGGUGUGUCAUCUAAAUGUGAGGACGGCCAAGCGGACUGUUGCACCGUGUUGAAGUGAAAAUAAAGAAGAUGCUAAUAUUC
Oryzias latipes (Japanese medaka) is the source of this 273-nucleotide long non-coding RNA. RefSeq lists it as uncharacterized. The record is from RefSeq and is a predicted model, not a curated record. Lineage: Eukaryota; Metazoa; Chordata; Actinopteri; Beloniformes; Adrianichthyidae.